AGCAAGGAGAGGGCGUCUGUUCCACAAAGGUUUGCAAAGUAAAAUUUAAAAAAAUAAAAAUAUAUUAAUAAUAAAAAAAAAAGAAGAAGAAGAAGCAGAAGAAUACAGUAACCGAGCGGUGGCUGAGAGGGGAAUCUGCAAUAACGUUGCAAAGUGUUGCACGCGAAGUGCUGCGGGCUGUGCUGGGGGCGCCGGUUGUGCUCCGUCAUUGCCGGGGCUGCAGGGCGGCACGCGGCUCCCCUCGCGCCGUAGCAAAGUCAGGGCGGAGCGCCACGCGCUGCUUCCUCAGGACCGGCGGUUUUUUGUAAUCCCUCGUCCCGUGGGUUGUGAUAAUCCCGAGGACUCCUCAAUAUACGUGUGCCUGAUGACAGCAGAAAUCCCCGCUGUGGAACCAGAAGCAACGCUUCCAUCUUCUUCUGUGUUUUCACCAAGAGCCCAGUCUCCUCAUCCUGUUUUGCACGUGGAGCAAUGUACCCUUUGACAUAUGGAAUGAUGUGCAAAUAGCUCUUGGAAAAAGAGAGGAUAGAUGAAGUCAGGCUGUGAAGGAUCGCAUCCAGCAGCAGACCUCCCCUGGCACAAGCUCUCUUGCUCCCUUGGCUGGGAUGAGGUGCUGUGGCCCCAGGCAUGGGGCACACUGAGAUGAACUGAGCAGCUUUUUGAAAAUGUCUUGAGAUCCUUGGCAAUGGAGAGAGAUUGCAGUGCAAGCACUUUUCUGGAUUACUCUGUCACCGAUGUCAAAUCAAAGCAUCAAGGAUAUAAAUCUUCAGUAAACAUCUGGCCUCACUUCAGCCAGGUUAUGCAAUGCCUCAAGUACAUUCGGCAGCAGAUUAUGCUGUGUUCUCCACUUGUGCAAUGCAAGCUAAUGUGAAUAUCAAGUCACAUCAGUGGUCUGGACAAGUAGUCGAGAGAUAAAGACGGCAACCCAAACUGGGAAGUUCGGCCUUUCAGCUCCAACUUAAAGGUCAUCAUGUUCGAUCAAGAUAUCGUCUCGUGACAGCUUUGUUGGUAUUCUCAGCAGUGCUUGGGAACAGUGGCUGAUCUUUCAUCACAAACUGUAAAGGAGGUGGUAAUAUUUGAAGAAAGAAAGAAAGAAGGAAAAAAUGCCAGACCCAAGCCUUGCUCACCUGGGGAUCCUGCGUGGGUUGUAAUCCAGCCCUGCUUCGGGACACAACCUUCUGCAUUGCAACCAGCACCAGCACUGAAGAGCAACUCGAGCAGCCUCAGAGGAGAUGACACACAUUGGGCUUCCAUGUCCACAUCCAUGCAGACGUGUUGCCAUCGUUGCCGUGCAGCCAGCAGGGACAGGACGUGGUGUGGCUGACAGCCUUGGGAUGAGGAUAUUCAAUUCUGAGUGACCUGUGAUCUGCUGAGACCUUGUGAGAUGUUGGUCAUGACGUGCUAUCAUUGAAACCUCUGCAAGAAGCUGAUGCUUCAGGAAUCCUAAGCAUCACCAGUCGAAACAAAUUUUGAACUUGCAAGCUGGGAAGGGAGAAAGCAGUUUCCUUUUGAUCUUACUCCAGACAUCCUUUAUUCCAAUCCUGUUGUCAUUUUUGCAAACUGCUCAUGUUGGCACCUGUCUGUGCAGUGACAGAUUUGUGAUGACAGCUUGCAUAACUUAUUUAUAAAAUGAUGAAUUAUUUUGGAAUUUAACUUCAAGUUCACAGACUGGAAAAAUGGAGAAACACCUGCUUCUUGCAGAGGACCUGGUAAGAAAGUCCAAAGGAAACUAUGCAUAUAUGGGAAGCACAUGCAAAGUGAAACAGAACCUUGUGGGUCAUUGUUAUGCUGGUCUAUGCUUCAGCAAGCACUCCAGGGAUGCAAUCCUAAGUUAAGAGUCUCAGUUGUUGGGGCUACAGAGUGUGAGGAAAGUUCCAAAGAGUGUAGUCCACUGGACUCUUGUUUUACUGAACAGUGGUCUCCUCCCAGGGUCAGAUCACACCAGGAGCCAAGGGGAAGUGAAGGGAGAAAGGGGACCUUUAUUCCUCCAAAUAUAUUCCAAUUGCACAACUGAUUAAAAACAUACUCUAAAAGGGAGGGUAAUGCUAAAGAGAUACUAACAGCUGGGAAAUGAACAAACAGUUUGUGUCACGUAGGUGAUAGUUCCUGUUUCUUACUGAAUGUUUUCAAUAAAUCACAGGCAGGGAGCAAGGAUGCUGGACCAUUUUAAUUCAAAAGAGGAAAGACACAGGCAGUCCUAUUGUCAGAGCCUUCAUUCAAGUCCAUUGAAGGACUGGAAGCAUGACCAAAGACAAAAGGAUGUGAGAUAUUUCUGAAGAGCCCUGAAGUGAUGUGUGCCACGUGUGUGAAUUGCUCCACACACCCAACCCAGCACCACGUGCCACCUGACUGCCUCAUGCUCGCAGAAGACAGAAAUCAGAAGAGCUUUUUCCAACCCAAACCUCUCUCUGGGUUUUCUCUCCUGACUUCUGAGUGUGAAAGCAUACCACUCUCAAAAGGCAUUCUGAAACUCCCAGCCAUCCCUUGUAUCACACAUCUUUUGCUUUCUGCUUUUAUGACCAGCUCGUAUGACCCAUGGGACCCCGUGCUUCUGGGUGAAAUCAGCCACCCCAUCGGAAAGCCAUCGUGCAGAGGCAAUUACUUCUGUGCCAUCACUAUUCACCCCAUAUCCUGCUUUCUGUUGGAAGAAACGUUGGCCCGGUUGUCUGUUUUCUAAUUAAGAUUAUAUUCAUUAUAUCUCAGGGACUGGGAAACCUCAUCUGUAACUAUUUAUGUAGCACACCUAUGGCUGCAGGAAAAAAACAUCUUUUUUCGAGUCAUGGGUUUUGUUCCAUGACAUGGCAGUUAGUUAUCUGCAGCAACGUCAGGUAACAGCACCACCUUCUGCCAACAUGAUACCAUCUCCUUAGAAAACCAACAGAUUAAUUUUCUCUCUGUGAUUUCCGUGGCUUUCUCAAACAUUUCUGAUGCAGAAGAACACCACCCUAAGGGCUGUUCUGAAACACCCCAAGCUGCCUUGAACAGUGAUGAAAUUACCAACAUGUAGCCAACUUUAGAGGAGCACCGAAUGCCCUGAGCUGGGCAACACAACUCUCGCUCCUGGGAGGACAGCUGAGCACACCCAUCUGAGUCUUCAUGGAAAACUGCCUUCUUCUCCUCCCUCUUUCACAUAGGUCCCCAGAGCUGCACACAAGGCUACGUCCUAGAUCUUUAGAUGACAUAAGCUGCCUGAAAAUAAUCAUCUUUCUUGCUUUUUUCCUCUAGGUUCUCUUUGUCCUUAGCAGACAACCCGGGGCUGCCCUGCCUUCAGCUUCAGACAGCCAAAUUUUAGGCAGUUGGCUUUCAGAGAGAUGAACAUUACACAAUAUAAGUAUUCACUUUUAAGAGCAAAACUGUGUCUUUACCUCCACAAACGCCCUAUUUUCCUGACAAAUUCUUCCCUCCAUGUGGGACCGAGGUGCACACAGAUCCAAGGAACCCAGGAGAAAUGGUGUCAGUGGACACACAGGUAAAGAAUAAGGUGCUGAUGAGCCAAUCAAUAAACCAGUAAUUAGCUCUGUUUGGGUUUUGGUGUUUUGCUGCAUUAUUUUUCUGCUGGUUUUGAAAAAAGUUUGCUUAUCUUAGUUUUAUAACCACUUAAAUGAAUCCCAGCUCUGUUCAAAUCAAUGAAAGCUUUUGUGAGACAGCUGUAAUUUUAUGUGCAUGUGUUUCAGUAAAUUAGAGGGUUUAGCCUUAAGGAUUCACUUUAGUGUAAUCUACUAAAAAGAUAAGUAGAGCCAGAUGCAGUGUCUUACAACCACUGGACAGUCACAACUGGAGCGACAGCACUGACAGCAACUUUAUGGCUUUUCCUCAUAGGGAGCAGAUUUCUUGACUCAAAAAAAGCAGUAUUUUACAUAAACAAUUGUAAAUAUUUUGUAUUUACAAUGCAAAGAAAGAAGGGUGCAAGGAAGAAAAAGAAA
Molecule: long non-coding RNA, 3920 nt
Organism: Tympanuchus pallidicinctus (lesser prairie-chicken)
Lineage: Eukaryota; Metazoa; Chordata; Aves; Galliformes; Phasianidae
Exons: 12
Source: RefSeq, a predicted model, not a curated record